AUGGGCCUCGCCGGCGGCAUUGUCCGGAGAGUCCUCUCCAAGAGCCCCUGCGCCUCCUCCUCGUCGGCGGGACGCGGAGGCCACACCGAAAGGAGCCCGGGCGACCACAAGAGGAGAUGGGGCUCUCUGAGGCUGUACCUGUGCGGCGACGAGAACGGCGCGGGUGCCGAGGACGGGGAGGACGACGAUGACGGGACGGUCUCGGCCAGGAGCUUCGAGACCUGCACCAUGACGCAGGACGCCCAAGCUCCGGCGGCAGCCGAUCAGCGUCGCCGCGAUGUCAACGGCGGCGCACACGGCCACGCUGAACAAGUUCACGCUCAGUGGAGCCCCGGCGAGCGGACGAAGCCGUUCACCGAGGACGAGGCGGCGACGCUGAUCCAGUCCGCAUUCAGGAGGUUCAUGGAAAGGGGGCGCUUGCUGCAGGAGGAGCUGAGGAGAAGUUCCGGACAAGAGUGCUGCUACGGUGAAGCGCCCAAGAGCCCUGCUGCCUCGGCGUCCACCAUCGCUGCGUCGGUGGAGGUCCAGGUAGGGGAGUCCCUGAGCAACCUCCGGCUGAGCGAUGACGGCGCGUCGGCGUCGGCGCAGCACCGGGCGGGCCAGAGCCAGAAGCCGCGGCCCCAGGUCUUCAGAGCCAAGGAGGAGUGGGACGACAGCACGCUGAGCUCCAACGUGCUGAGGAUGAGGAUCCAGAGCAAGAUGGAGGCCACCACGCGGCGCGAGCGGGCCCUCGCCUACGCCUUCUCACAGCAGCUGAGGAGCGGCGGCACGAAGAAGCGGUCGUCGAGGUCGGAGCAGGGGGAGUUCAACGUGGGGUGGAGCUGGCUGGAGCGGUGGAUGGCGACGCGGCAGGCCGAGCCCGGCGCCGACGACAGCGCGAGCAAGAACGCCACGGACGCCGGGUCGGCGGUUGCCGGGCGGCGGGUGGUGGUGGUGAGGAGGCGGCAGGACGUGGCCGUCGAGGAGAAGGAGAGCUGCGGCUCCAACGACGUGUCCGCCAUCAGCUUCGACGGCUCCAGCGCCGGCGGCCGGAGCGGACUCAGCUGCUACAGGCCCGGCAAGAACCGGCUCAGGGGGGGCAGGAACCUGCCGCGCCGGAAGGUGGCGGCCGCGUCGUCGGAGCACCGGCUCCAACCAAGAUCCCACAAGGUGAGCAAGAAGGCGCGGCAGAGGGAGGAGAAGCAGCUGCAGAAGGAUCAUCAAGCCGAGGCCGAGGCGUACGAUCCCCGCCAGCCCCCGACGGAUUACUGA
RNAcentral lists this ribosomal RNA (1251 nucleotides) under Triticum aestivum (bread wheat). RNAcentral describes it as "partial small subunit ribosomal RNA". Lineage: Eukaryota; Viridiplantae; Streptophyta; Magnoliopsida; Poales; Poaceae. The record is from RNAcentral.